This is a long non-coding RNA of Columba livia (rock pigeon), 589 nucleotides long. RefSeq lists it as uncharacterized. The transcript is spliced from 3 exons. NCBI's taxonomy places the organism in Eukaryota, Metazoa, Chordata, Aves, Columbiformes, Columbidae. The record is from RefSeq and is a predicted model, not a curated record.
GUUUGGUUUUGUUUGGGGGGGGGCAGGAGGAGUUGUUUUCUUCUUUUUGAGAGCAGAUCUGCUUAAGCUAAGAGCAAGAAAUCAACCCGCAGCAUUUAUUGGCGUUUCUCCUGUUAUUAUGCCUUUCUGGGCUGAUCGUUCCCUCCACCGUCUGCACCGCUGCCCAUCCCUGUUGGAGGGCAAGAGAGCUGCGGUUUGUCCCUGAACUGAAAAGAGGCUGGUGUUGGGUACCUGGAGCAGGAGGAUCAUUCAGCAGGGCUGGCGAGUGGCUCCAGCAGGAACAUGGAACCAGGGACUGUGACAUCGCAGCUCUUCCUUGGGAGGCAACAAGAUGCCCAUCUGGGACAUCAGAAACAAACACUCUCUGACUCUUGUCACUCAGAGACGACUACACAGCAACAUGGCUUGUUUACUGGCUGUUUUCAGUGGAUUGAAGCUGUGUGGCCUUGUCCUCAUUCCAGGCAAUGCAUGGACAGAGCUGUCUGGAGGAAAACCCGACCAAUUGUAUAGUUUUCAGUGCCGAGUGGCAGUUAGCCACUUUGCUUUUAUUGUUAACAGAUCGCAAUGUUGCCUUGCUGCUAUGCCACAC